This 555-nucleotide small RNA is filed under the name uncultured Inocybe. RNAcentral's name for it is "eukaryotic LSU rRNA". The stretch from base 223 to 344 matches the Rfam family "5.8S ribosomal RNA". The record is from RNAcentral. Lineage: Eukaryota; Fungi; Basidiomycota; Agaricomycetes; Agaricales; Cortinariaceae.
AUCGAAUAAACUUGAACAGGCUGUUGCUGGUCCCAGGACAAUGUGCACGCUUGUCAUCUUUGUCAUUUCUCCAACUGUGCACGUAUUGUAGACCUUGGGAUGGAAUUCGUUCCGAGUGGGGACUGCUGUGCUUCAAAAGAGGUCGGCUUUCCCUUCUUCCAAGUCUAUGUCAUUUCUCUUGAACAAAAAUGUGUUUAGAAUGAAAUAAAAGUUAUUAAAAACAACUUUCAGCAACGGAUCUCUUGGCUCUCGCAUCGAUGAAGAACGCAGCGAAAUGCGAUAAGUAAUGUGAAUUGCAGAAUUCAGUGAAUCAUCGAAUCUUUGAACGGCCUGUUUGAGUGUCAUUUAAACCUCUCAACACCACAUUGAUUCAUUUCGACGUGGCUUUGGACGUGGGGGCUUUUGCGGGCUUUCUUUGCAGAGUCUGCUCCCCUGAAAUGCAUCAGUGGUGUCUGGAGCGGAAACCGCUAGGUGUGAUAACAUCAUCUACGCCUUUGGUAUGCCGCGCAUGUGCUGCUUCCAAUGCACGAUUCUUGACAAACUUGACCUCAAAUC